GUGCCCAUUGUGUAGUGGUUCAAAACAUCUCUCUUUCAAUGAGACAGCGGGGAUUAGAUUUCCCCUAGGGGUA
Non-coding RNA from Lupinus angustifolius (narrow-leaved blue lupine), 73 nucleotides. Lineage: Eukaryota; Viridiplantae; Streptophyta; Magnoliopsida; Fabales; Fabaceae. The record is from Rfam.